Long non-coding RNA from Lingula anatina, 955 nucleotides. Lineage: Eukaryota; Metazoa; Brachiopoda; Lingulata; Lingulida; Lingulidae. The record is from RefSeq and is a predicted model, not a curated record.
CUUGAUAUUGAUAGAGAUAGGAGGAUAAGGCAUAAUUCCAAGCAACAACAGACCUCACUAGGUUUCAGGAGAAUUUACCAACAAGAAGUUAAGAUGUCCGCACCUCUGUGAAGAUUUUCUACGGAAGAUAACAUUGUUGGAUGUAAACACUCCCCACAGAAUGAAUGAAUGGAUUGGAAGGUGGGGAAAAUUGGAAAGAAGAUAGCCACUUUUGUGUUGGACAGGAUUGAUAGGUGAUUGAUAAUGGGACCUUGGCAGUGAUGGGAACCCAGUAAGCUCCUUGUGCAUUACUUUACCAGACAACCAGGAAAUUUGCUCUAGAAGUAUUUUCAAAUCUGAAAAUAAAUGGAAAAGGAACAAGAAUAAAAGUCCGAGGGCAUCGUUUUAAUUCAAAACGGUAGACAUUAACUGUAUGGGCUUACAUCUGGAGAGUUUGAGUUCUGGUGGGAAUGCCAAAUGUGACUUGGAACUGACUGGUGUAUUUUGAUACACUGAUUUGAUUACUGUUCAAGCAGUCCUUGGCAGAUAGGCUUAGUGGCAUUAAAAGCUGUAAAAACAAGGGAAUCGGUGUUAUGAGACAUGAGGCAAUACACCGCUAAAGGCGACCUCAGUCUGUGUGGGAAACGGUUCACAUUGAAGGGGUACCACGGAGCUCUCUGAAAUAACAACUGCACACACACAGUUCAAAUGUUGCAGCAGGAGUGAAAUGUUUUUGUUGGAAUAUUCAUCCCCGAUUUAUUAAACAUGGGUGGAAUGAACGUGCAUGUGUGACAUGCUCUUUUUCUUUUCUUUUUUAACAAACAUCAAGGUGGAAGGAGUCUUGUUAAUGUUGAAUAAAUUAUGAAUUUGUUGGGGUCUACACGGAUCGAAACCUCACUUGGGAAAUCUGUUGAUUGGCAAUCUGGAUGUUGAUUGGAAUCUGAGUAGUUCGAGAAAAAAUAUAUGACAAAAAAAA